RNAcentral lists this long non-coding RNA (1889 nucleotides) under Mus musculus (house mouse). Its description in RNAcentral is "maternally expressed 3". The stretch from base 520 to 621 matches the Rfam family "Maternally expressed 3 conserved region 2". The record is from RNAcentral. Lineage: Eukaryota; Metazoa; Chordata; Mammalia; Rodentia; Muridae.
ACAGAAGACGAAGAGCUGGAAUAGAGCUCGCCUCGGCUCUGCUGGCCUUGGCUGCAGCUCUUCCAGAAACCCGGGGCGCCCACAGAAGAAUCUCUUACCUGGCUCUCUCUUCAGGGAUGACAUCAUCGGCUCACACCAGUCUUCCAGGACCACCUUCUGGAUGCCAAGGCUGCUGCUCGAGUACCUGCUGUGCACCUCUACCUCCUGAGCCAAGGAGCACGGAUUCCAGGAACCCACUACCAUACAGAGCAACUCCUUGUGGACCCCCCUGGGAUCAGGACAGCGAGGGACAAGCGACAAAGAGGAUCAUCAGUGGCCAGCUAGUUUCUCUGGGGUUCAAACCUUGAACCAGUGCCCUAGUGAGGGGGCACUGGCCAUGGCCCUUGACCUUUGCUCUGCUUGUGUCUUGAGUCUGAGCCCUUUCCUGUACAUCUGUGCUCGUGUUCAUCUGCUAGUGAACUGGAGUGCUGCCCUCCCCGAGGAGGGUCGUCCCUUGUGACUGAUCAUGCUGUCCUAACAAUGUCCUGAGCAAAAGGGUCCCUUUGGGAACCUCUCAGGAGGGGGACCCGGGUCAGGGGCGACCAGCAUCUUGCUGGCAACUCCGUGGGUGGGGUGGGGUGGGGUGCUUCCUUCUGGAAUGAGCACGUGGCUGACCCCCCAAGGCAUGUCCCCUCCCCCUCCUCCACCCACCUUCUCGGAGAUGUCCCUUUUGGGGUAGUGGGGACAUUAGGAGCAACCUCCUAGGGUUGUUGUGAGAAUUAAAUGAACUGCAGCAGCCUGAGGCAGGGCUGGGCAGAGACCUCAGCACAUGUUUGUUGAAAGGUUUGCAGGUGGAUCUAGUCCUCCCGUUCAUGGCUCAUGUGUCUCAACCAUUCUCUCGCAGACUCCUGCAGCCCCUAUGCCCAGGGCUCUCCUUGCGCCAGCCCCGGCUUCUCGAGGCCUGUCUACACUCGCUGCUUUCCUUCCUCACCUCCAAUUUCCCCUCCAACCCACUGCUUCCUGACUCGCUCUUCUCCAUCGAACGGCUCUCGCUCAGGUUCCACGAGCUGCCCAUCUCCACAGAAGAGCAGGUGAGGCCGCUGCCUGUCUUCAUGCGUCUGGCAUUGCCCACCGGCCAUGCCGGCUGAAGAAAAGAAGACUGAGGACCCCAGGAUGCCCAGCGCGAGGACCCCAGGAAGCCCAGCGCGAGGACUCCACCCACGACGCCCAGCGCGAGGACUUCACGCACAACACGUUGCAACCCUCCUGGAUUAGGCCAAAGCCAUCAUCUGGAAUCCUGCGUGGGACCCUGGACACACGGACACAGACACCUGCCCCCAGGACCCUCCAACUGUAAAUCGAUUGGAAGCGCCCUUGUGAGCUGGGGCCUUCAAAGGGCUGAGGAGAAAAUGCAGGCCGAGAGACCAGCUUCUCAAAUAGGCUUCAAGCCUCCAUGACCUGAGCUCACCCCCUGGAAAUGUCUGGAAAACAUAAUGGGCAGGUUUUCUGUCUUCAAAGUUUCCAUCAAAACCUCUUCAAGUUCUUUAUUGUUUAGGACUGAGACACUUGGGGACAGUAAUGGGGACUUUCUUUUGUAUCUGUCUUGAAAGGCCAAAAUAUUUUUAUAUUGCUGUAGACAAAGCCACCUAUUUACAAAUGGACUCUUGUUCCGUCGUUUCCCACCAGGAAGACCGUACUAUGUUUGUGUCUCUAUGUAUUCUGGGGUCUUGAAACAGGUUUCUCAUGGGGAUGGCCAUUCACUAGAGCCCAGAGGGGCAGAAGGGGAAGUGUCUACCCUGCCAAGGGGGUCUGGGGAAGGAGGGGGGCUAGUCUCAGAUUUGCUCCUUGUAUGUCUAGGGUAAACCCUGGGAGAAUCUGGUGGUAAAAGAACAUAUGCUGUGUUUGCCCCA